Molecule: ribosomal RNA, 120 nt
Organism: Beauveria bassiana D1-5
Lineage: Eukaryota; Fungi; Ascomycota; Sordariomycetes; Hypocreales; Cordycipitaceae
Source: Rfam
AUGUACGGCCAUAGCCGAGUGACCAGUCUGGAUCCCGUCCGAUCUCCGAUAGACAACCACUUGAGCGCCAGAUUAGUAGUUGGGUCGGUGACGACCAGCGAACACCGGGUGCUGUACGUU